RNAcentral lists this ribosomal RNA (480 nucleotides) under uncultured bacterium. RNAcentral describes it as "partial 16S ribosomal RNA". It matches the Rfam family "Bacterial small subunit ribosomal RNA", at positions 28 to 523 of the family's 1533-position model. The record is from RNAcentral.
GACGAACGCUGGCGGCGUGCUUAACACAUGCAAGUCGAAGGAUGAAGUUCCUUCGGGAAUGGAUUAGUGGCGAACGGGUGAGGAACACGUGAGAAACCUGCCUUUCGUUUUGGGAUAACUCCGGGAAACCGGGGCUAAAACCGAAUACUCCGUCUCGGCGGCAUCGCUGAGCCGGGAAAAAAUUUUGAUGAAAGAUGGUCUCGCGGCCUAUCAGCUAGUUGGUGAGGUAAUGGCUCACCAAGGCAACGACGGGUAGCCGGCCUGAGAGGGCGACCGGCCACACGGGGACUGAGACACGGCCCAGACUCCUACGGGAGGCAGCAGUGGGGAAUAUUGGGCAAUGGGCGCAAGCCUGACCCAGCGACGCCGCGUGAGGGAUGAAGGCCUUCGGGUUGUAAACCUCUUUCAGUAGGGAAGAAGCGAAAGUGACGGUACCUAAAGAAGAAGCACCGGCUAACUAUGUGCCAGCCGCCGCCGUAA